RNAcentral lists this transfer RNA (85 nucleotides) under Spirochaetaceae bacterium. RNAcentral's name for it is "tRNA-Ser". It matches the Rfam family "tRNA". Rfam says of the family: Transfer RNA (tRNA) molecules are approximately 80 nucleotides in length. Their secondary structure includes four short double-helical elements and three loops (D, anti-codon, and T loops). Further hydrogen bonds mediate the characteristic L-shaped molecular structure. tRNAs have two regions of fundamental functional importance: the anti-codon, which is responsible for specific mRNA codon recognition, and the 3' end, to which the tRNAs corresponding amino acid is attached (by aminoacyl-tRNA synthetases). tRNAs cope with the degeneracy of the genetic code in two manners: having more than one tRNA (with a specific anti-codon) for a particular amino acid; and 'wobble' base-pairing, i.e. permitting non-standard base-pairing at the 3rd anti-codon position. The record is from RNAcentral. Lineage: Bacteria; Pseudomonadati; Spirochaetota; Spirochaetia; Spirochaetales; Spirochaetaceae.
GGAGCGGUGUCCGAGUGGUUGAAGGAGACGGUCUUGAAAAUCGUUGAGCCGCAAGGCUCCGGGGGUUCGAAUCCCCCCUGCUCCG